Molecule: long non-coding RNA, 222 nt
Filed under: Lathyrus oleraceus (garden pea)
Lineage: Eukaryota; Viridiplantae; Streptophyta; Magnoliopsida; Fabales; Fabaceae
Description: Pisum sativum (pea) long non-coding RNA (PSAT_LNC028495)
Source: RNAcentral
UUUUUGAUUUAAUUAAUUAAUUAAAAAAUUUAAUUAGUUUAAUUUUGAUUAAUCAAUUUUAAUUAACUUAAUUAUUUGAUUUAAUUAGAUAUUUUUGAUAAUUAAUCUUAAUUAAUUCAAUUAAUCGAUUUAACCAAGUUUUUAAUAAAUUAAUUUUGUUAAAAAAAGAAAUUGAUCGAUUUCUCCCACUAUCACAACUUCACAUUAUUUCAAACAAAAAAC